CACGGGCACAAGCAUCUGGUUGCUGGUGAUCUGGCCAAAGUGAAUCCUAAAAGAAAACAGUCGCGCUGUAAAGAAAGGAUCCGACCUACCGGUCCCUUCUCGAAACCUGCUAAUCCAGUGACAUCUUCUCUUCAGCAAUCUACCACAGAGAUUACAAUGGGAAGCUUGAGAGAUACAGUGAAGAAUGCUAGCUCACGGGGACUGUUGAGAGCUCAUUUCUUCUCGGUACAGCUCAAUUGCCUCCAUGAUCCUCUCAGCCUACACAGACGACAAAGGAAGAGAUCACCCAGUGCACACCCACGACACCCAAGAGCUGGGAAGGCCUGGCUAAUGUAGCCUGAAUCAGCUUAAUAAAGACAUGGCAGCCGGAGUGCAGCGCAGCA
This 383-nucleotide long non-coding RNA is filed under the name Rattus norvegicus (Norway rat). RNAcentral's name for it is "long non-coding RNA NONRATT015624". Lineage: Eukaryota; Metazoa; Chordata; Mammalia; Rodentia; Muridae. The record is from RNAcentral.